CCCCUAGAUGUUCUGGGCCGCACGCGCGCUACACUGAACAGUUCAACAAGUCUUAACCUUGGCCGAUAGGUCUGGGUAAUCUUUGAACGCUGUUCGUGAUUGGGAUAGACCUUUGCAAUUAUGGGUCUUCAACGAGGAAUUCCUAGCAAACGCAAGUCAUCAGCUUGCAUUGAUUACGUCCCUGCCCUUUGUACACACCGCCCGUCGCACCUACCGAUUGAAUGGUCCGGUGAAAUCUCGGGACGGCGGCUUGGUCGCUUGCGUCCGACUGCUGAAACUUGAUUAAACCAUAUCAUUUAGAGGAAGGUGAAGUCGUANCA
RNAcentral lists this ribosomal RNA (320 nucleotides) under uncultured eukaryote. RNAcentral describes it as "partial 18S ribosomal RNA". It matches the Rfam family "Eukaryotic small subunit ribosomal RNA", at positions 1470 to 1796 of the family's 1831-position model. The record is from RNAcentral.